This 80-nucleotide small RNA is filed under the name Arabidopsis thaliana (thale cress). Its description in RNAcentral is "ATSL159710". The record is from RNAcentral. Lineage: Eukaryota; Viridiplantae; Streptophyta; Magnoliopsida; Brassicales; Brassicaceae.
UCUUUUUUCUAUGCUUCUCUCGGAUCAAAUCUUUCCUCUUGCAUGAAGCUCCAACUACAUUUAACAACAAAGAAAUCAAA